Lolium perenne is the source of this 306-nucleotide long non-coding RNA. RefSeq lists it as uncharacterized. The record is from RefSeq and is a predicted model, not a curated record. NCBI's taxonomy places the organism in Eukaryota, Viridiplantae, Streptophyta, Magnoliopsida, Poales, Poaceae.
GCCCCCUCUUUCUCUCUGCGGCGCAGCACACGCCACACACUCAGCAGCACAACGCCACAACGCCAUCGAUCGACGCCAUCUACCUUACAUCGCGAUGUUUUGAAAGACGAGUGAGUUACGAUGGUUAGGGUUACGAGUCUAUCCUCAACAUGCUCGCCUGUGGCACAUGAAGACGAAGGACUCCAUGCUGUCUAUGUUUAUUCGUUGUGAAACUCUGAUGAUAUGCUAGCCUCGUGCUAUGCAAUUUGUAAUCCUUUAUGUAAUAUCUGGAUCAUACGAUGUAAUAAAGACCUUUGUUUCUUGGUA